GACGAACGCUGGCGGCGUGCUUAACACAUGCAAGUCGAACGGUGAACCUCUUCGGAGGGGAUCAGUGGCGAACGGGUGAGUAACACGUGGGCAACCUGCCCCCGACUCUGGGAUAACUCCAAGAAAUUGGGGCUAAUACCGGAUGUUCACCGCUUCCCGCAUUGUUGGUGGUGAAAAGGGUUUCCGGCUGGGGAUGGUCCCGCGGCCUAUCAGCUUGUUGGUGGGGUAUUGGCCUACCAAGGCGAGGACGGGGAGCCGGCCUGAGAGGGUGACCGGCCACACUGGGACUGAGACACGGCCCAGACUCCUACGGGAGGAAGCAGUGGGGAAUAGUGCGCAAUGGGCGGAAGCCUGACGCAGCGACGCCGCGUGGGGGAUGACGGCCUUCGGGUUGUAACCCUCUUUCAGCAGGGACGAAGCGAAAGUGACGGUACCUGAAGAAGAAGCAACGGCCAACUACGUG
This 463-nucleotide ribosomal RNA is filed under the name uncultured bacterium. RNAcentral's name for it is "partial 16S ribosomal RNA". It matches the Rfam family "Bacterial small subunit ribosomal RNA", at positions 28 to 507 of the family's 1533-position model. The record is from RNAcentral.